RNAcentral lists this ribosomal RNA (253 nucleotides) under uncultured bacterium. Its description in RNAcentral is "partial 16S ribosomal RNA". It matches the Rfam family "Bacterial small subunit ribosomal RNA", at positions 524 to 776 of the family's 1533-position model. The record is from RNAcentral.
GACAGAGGUGGCAAGCGUUGUUCGGAAUUAUUGGGCGUAAAGGGUGUGUAGGUGGUUGGAUAAGUCAGAGGUGAAAGCCCACAGCUUAACUGUGGAAGUGCCUUUGAAACUAUCUGACUAGAGUGCAGGAGAGGAGGGUGGAAUUCCCGGUGUAGAGGUGAAAUUCGUAGAUAUCGGGAGGAACACCAGCGGCGAAGGCGGCCCUCUGGACUGCAACUGACACUGAAACACGAAAGCGUGGGGAGCAAACAGG